GUCGAACGCUUCUUUUUCACCGGAGCUUGCUCCACCGGAAAAAGAGGAGUGGCGAACGGGUGAGUAACACGUGGGUAACCUGCCCAUCAGAAGGGGAUAACACUUGGAAACAGGUGCUAAUACCGUAUAACAAUCAAAACCGCAUGGUUUUGAUUUGAAAGGCGCUUUCGGGUGUCGCUGAUGGAUGGACCCGCGGUGCAUUAGCUAGUUGGUGAGGUAACGGCUCACCAAGGCCACGAUGCAUAGCCGACCUGAGAGGGUGAUCGGCCACAUUGGGACUGAGACACGGCCCAAACUCCUACGGGAGGCAGCAGUAGGGAAUCUUCGGCAAUGGACGAAAGUCUGACCGAGCAACGCCGCGUGAGUGAAGAAGGUUUUCGGAUCGUAAAACUCUGUUGUUAGAGAAGAACAAGGAUGAGAGUAACUGUUCAUCCCUUGACGGUAUCUAACCAGAAAGCCACGGCUAACUACGUGCCAGCAGCCGCGGUAAUACGUAGGUGGCAAGCGUUGUCCGGAUUUAUUGGGCGUAAAGCGAGCGCAGGCGGUUUCUUAAGUCUGAUGUGAAAGCCCCCGGCUCAACCGGGGAGGGUCAUUGGAAACUGGGAGACUUGAGUGCAGAAGAGGAGAGUGGAAUUCCAUGUGUAGCGGUGAAAUGCGUAGAUAUAUGGAGGAACACCAGUGGCGAAGGCGGCUCUCU
RNAcentral lists this ribosomal RNA (697 nucleotides) under Enterococcus sp. MYb163. Its description in RNAcentral is "bacterial SSU rRNA". It matches the Rfam family "Bacterial small subunit ribosomal RNA", at positions 61 to 730 of the family's 1533-position model. Lineage: Bacteria; Bacillati; Bacillota; Bacilli; Lactobacillales; Enterococcaceae. The record is from RNAcentral.